RNAcentral lists this ribosomal RNA (524 nucleotides) under uncultured bacterium. RNAcentral's name for it is "partial 16S ribosomal RNA". It matches the Rfam family "Bacterial small subunit ribosomal RNA", at positions 28 to 523 of the family's 1533-position model. The record is from RNAcentral.
GACGAACGCUGGCGGCGUGCCUAAUACAUGCAAGUCGAGCGCAGGAAAUCAUCCGAACCCUUCGGGGGGACGUUGAUGGAAUGAGCGGCGGACGGGUGAGUAACACGUAAAGAACCUGCCCUCAGGUCUGGGAUAACCACGAGAAAUCGGGGCUAAUACCGGAUGGGUCAUCGGACCGCAUGGUCCGAGGAUGAAAGGCGCUUCGGCGUCGCCUGGGGAUGGCUUUGCGGUGCAUUAGCUCGUUGGUGGGGCAAUGGCCCACCAAGGCGACGAUGCAUAGCCGACCUGAGAGGGUGAUCGGCCACACGGGGACUGAGACACGGCCCAGACUCCUACGGGAGGCAGCAGUAGGGAAUCUUCCACAAUGGACGAAAGUCUGAUGGAGCAACGCCGCGUGAACGAUGAAGGCCUUCGGGUCGUAAAGUUCUGUUGUAAGGGAAGAGCAAGUGCCGCAGGCAAUGGCGGCACCUUGACGGUACCUUGCGAGAAAGCCACGGCUAACUACGUGCCAGCCGCCGCAGUAA